Molecule: ribosomal RNA, 422 nt
Filed under: uncultured eukaryote
Lineage: Eukaryota
Description: SSU rRNA
Rfam family: Eukaryotic small subunit ribosomal RNA
Source: RNAcentral
CAAUAGCGUAUAUUAAAGUUGUUGCGGUUAAAAAGCUCGUAGUUGGAUUUCUGCUGAGGACGACCGGUCCGCCCUCUGGGUGAGUAUCUGGCUUGGCCUUGGCAUCUUCUUGGAGAACGUAGCUGCACUUGACUGUGUGGUGCGGUAUCCAGGACUUUUACUUUGAGGAAAUUAGAGUGUUUCAAGCAGGCGUACGCCUUGAAUACAUUAGCAUGGAAUAAUGAGAUAGGACCUUGGUUCUAUUUUGUUGGUUUCUAGAGCUGAGGCAAUGAUUAAUAGGGGAUAGUUGGGGCAUUCGGUAUUUAUUGUCAGAGGUGAAAUUCUUGGAUUUGCUGAAGACUAACUACUGCGAAAGCAUUCGCCAAGGAUGUUUUUCAUUAAUCAGGGAACGAAAGUUAGGGGAUCGAAGAUGAUCAGAUACC